Molecule: ribosomal RNA, 603 nt
Filed under: uncultured marine group I thaumarchaeote
Lineage: Archaea; Thermoproteati; Nitrososphaerota
Description: bacterial SSU rRNA
Rfam family: Archaeal small subunit ribosomal RNA
Source: RNAcentral
GUCGUAAAACCACUGAUGAAUAAGGGGUGGGCAAGUUCUGGUGUCAGCCGCCGCGGUAAAACCAGCACCUCAAGUGGUCAGGAGGAUUAUUGGGCCUAAAGCAUCCGUAGCCUGUCCUGUAAGUUUCCGGUUAAAUCCAUUUGCUCAACAAAUGGGCUGCCGGAAAUACUACAAGACUAGGGAGUGGGAGAGGUAGACGGUACUCGGUAGGAAGGGGUAAAAUCCUUUGAUCUAUUGAUGACCACCUGUGGCGAAGGCGGUCUACCAGAACACGUUCGACGGUGAGGGAUGAAAGCUGGGGGAGCAAACCGGAUUAGAUACCCGGGUAGUCCCAGCUGUAAACGAUGCAGACUCGGUGAUGCCCUGGCUUGUGGCCAGUGCAGUGCCGCAGGGAAGCCGUUAAGUUUGCCGCCUGGGGAAGUACGUACGCAAGUAUGAAACUUAAAGGAAUUGGCGGGGGGGCACCACAAGGGGUGAAGCCUGCGGUUCAAUUGGAGUCAACGCCAGAAUCUUACCCGAGAGACAGCAGAAUGAAAGUCAAACUGGAGAUUUACCAGACAGCUGAGAAGAGUGCAUGGCCAGGCGAUUCAGCAACUGGCGGCC